ACUCAAAUGAAUUGACGGGGGCCCGCACAAGCGGUGGAGCAUGUGGUUCAAUUCGACGCAACGCGAAGAACCUUACCUGGGCUCGAACGGCUAUGGACCAUCCUUGGAAACAGGGAUUUCCCGCAAGGGACUGUAGUCGAGGUGCUGCAUGGCUGUCGUCAGCUCGUGUCGUGAGAUGUUGGGUUAAGUCCCGCAACGAGCGCAACCCUUGCCCUGUGUUGCCAUGCCGAAAGGCGGAACUCGCAGGGGACCGCCAGCGAUAAGCUGGAGGAAGGUGGGGAUGACGUCAAGUCAUCAUGGCCUUUAUGUCCAGGGCUACACACGUGCUACAAUGGCCGGUACAAACCGUUGCUAAAUCGCGAGAUGGAGCUAAUCGGAAAAAGCCGGUCUCAGUUCGGAUUGCAGGCUGCAACCCGCCUGCAUGAAGCUGGAAUCGCUAGUAAUGGCGCAUCAGCACGGCGCCGUGAAUACGUUCCCGGGCCUUGUACACACCGCCCGU
This 499-nucleotide ribosomal RNA is filed under the name uncultured bacterium. RNAcentral describes it as "partial 16S ribosomal RNA". It matches the Rfam family "Bacterial small subunit ribosomal RNA", at positions 899 to 1397 of the family's 1533-position model. The record is from RNAcentral.